This 440-nucleotide ribosomal RNA is filed under the name uncultured bacterium. Its description in RNAcentral is "bacterial SSU rRNA". It matches the Rfam family "Bacterial small subunit ribosomal RNA", at positions 338 to 770 of the family's 1533-position model. The record is from RNAcentral.
CCUACGGGUGGCUGCAGUGGGGAAUAUUGCACAAUGGGCGAAAGCCUGAUGCAGCCAUGCCGCGUGUAUGAAGAAGGCCUUCGGGUUGUAAAGUACUUUCAGUUGUGAGGAAGGGUGUGUAGUUAAUAACUGCGCAUCUUGACGUUAGCAACAGAAGAAGCACCGGCUAACUCCGUGCCAGCAGCCGCGGUAAUACGGAGGGUGCAAGCGUUAUCCGGAAUCAUUGGGUUUAAAGGGUCCGUAGGCGGGCUAAUAAGUCAGGGGUGAAAGUUUGCAGCUCAACUGUAAAAUUGCCUUUGAUACUGCUAGUCUUGAAUUAGUAGGAAGUGGUUAGAAUAAGUAGUGUAGCGGUGAAAUGCAUAGAUAUUACUUAGAAUACCGAUUGCGAAGGCAGAUCACUACUACUAUAUUGACGCUGAUGGACGAAAGCGUGGGGAGCG